CCAUUCCUGGCAGCCGAUGCAUCUCGCCGGCGUCACUUUCGCUGCUGCAGCAGAUUCAGGCGAUGACCCAGCAGCAGCAGUUUUUGCAAGGACUCGGUGCCCAGACUGAUACAACGACGGCAGCUGCCGCGGCUGGACUGUUGAGCCCGCUGUCGAUGCAGAACCUGGUGACCCUGGCGGCCAUGACGCAACCAUCGCUUCAAGCCGCUGCCGCUCAAACACCCACCGCGGCCAUUACCAACGCAGCGACCUCACUGUGUAAGUAGCUACUUUCCGUGUUUGGCUUUGUUUGUUUGUUUGGACUGUCCUUGGAUGUUUCCCCCAAACCAGGAAUUCCGUUCGUUGUUUGAGACUAACUUCCUUGCUGUGUCUGUUGUCGAGUGCGUCUUAUGCGAGGGAAAUAGUUCGUACGGUAUUUGUACAGCGUUCCACUUCAAAGAAAUCUUCGAUUUUUCGGCAUCUGCUUUCAAAGUUCCUUCUGGUUGUAGAAAAUCUAUUAAGUUCAAAACAUAAAUAAAAGGAGAUACAAAGUCUA
Molecule: long non-coding RNA, 535 nt
Organism: Aedes aegypti (yellow fever mosquito)
Lineage: Eukaryota; Metazoa; Arthropoda; Insecta; Diptera; Culicidae
Exons: 2
Source: RefSeq, a predicted model, not a curated record